GCAUGCCUGUAAUCCUAGCUACUCAGGAGGCUGAGACUGGAGAAUCCCUUGAACCCAGGUGGCACAGGUUGUGGUGGGUCGAGAUGGCACCAUUAUACUCCAGCCUGGGCAAGAAAAGAGAAACUCCAUCUCAAAAAAAAAAAAAAAAAAGCAAGUUCUGGGAGGGACAAAAAACAUAGCAGCAGGACAGGUGGAUCCGGGGAGGAAAUGACCUCGAGGGGAUAAAGAAGGGAGGACAAGUUAGCUGAGGUCAGAUUAGGAAGGAGGAGCCCUGGAUGCUGCAGUGAAACACGGUGUGGUGUGCCCUGUUUGAGAUGGGCUCUUUCAUGUCGAAGAGGUUGGCGUAGCUAGAGGACCAAGGCUCUGUCUUCUGAGACCUUCCUGGUGCCCUCCUUCACCAUUUGCCUUCCCUCUCCACCAUGGAGGAUAGACCGGCAGCAGCUGAGUCUGUGCUGUGAACACACCUUUCCACACACGCCAGCCCCGUGUCCACAGCUCCAAGACCACCUGAGGGAUUCACUCAGUGGAGCUCAUGUGCUUAUAGCGACUCUGUUUCCUAGGUGACCUGGAAGACCUGGAGGAGCAUCUGCCAGGGCAGACAGUCUCUGAGGAAGCCACAGGGGUUCACAUGAUGCAGGUGGACCCAGCCACACCGGCAAAGAGUACGUAUUCUGGGAUCAUCUCUUUGUUUAGGUUUGAAAUCUUAGUGUUGUAAAGGUGGCGCUGCUUCACCUGCUUUUGCUCAAGGGCCACUCUGGUUUGAGCUUUCUGCCAGAAAUGAGAUUUGGGAAGUUUGGUUUAAAAACUACUAAGAGUCACACCGGGCACAGUGGCUCACGCCUGUAAUUCCAGCACCUUGAGAGGCGGAGACGGGCGGAUCAGCAGAGGUCAGGAGUUUGAGACCAGCCUGACUGACAUUGAGAAACCCCAUCUCUCCUAAAAAUACAAAAUUACCUGGGUGUGGUGUCACAUGCCUGCAAUCCCAGCUACUCAGGAGGCCGAGGCAGGAGAAUCACUUGAACCCAGGUGGUAGUGGUUGCAGUGAGCCAAGGUUGUGCCAUUGCACUCCAGCCUGGGCAACGAGCGAAACUCCGUCUCAAAAAAAAAAAAAAAAAAA
This 1117-nucleotide long non-coding RNA is filed under the name Homo sapiens (human). Its description in RNAcentral is "HSALNT0331327". Lineage: Eukaryota; Metazoa; Chordata; Mammalia; Primates; Hominidae. The record is from RNAcentral.